Vicia villosa (hairy vetch) is the source of this 677-nucleotide long non-coding RNA. RefSeq lists it as uncharacterized. The record is from RefSeq and is a predicted model, not a curated record. NCBI's taxonomy places the organism in Eukaryota, Viridiplantae, Streptophyta, Magnoliopsida, Fabales, Fabaceae. The transcript has 3 exons.
UGUGAAACUGAAGUUGGUUUAUUUGAAUAUGGUUUGAUAUGGUUUGAAUUGUAUUUAAUGUGUGCACUGAUGUAGCAACCGUAGGCAGUAUGGAUUUAUUCAUAUACGUGUAGGAACAUGAUGGUAAGGCUAUGGAAUUAGAAUGUUGUGAUGUGAUGUGUUUUAUUCUAAACUGUAUGCUGAAUUGUAUGUGUAUUGUUAUUGAUGCAGGAUUUGUUAGCUUUACAUGAUGCAGGGACUGGUUUAUUUCCAUAGUAGAUUUUCUUGUAUGGCAGACUGCGACAGAUUGGAUGAGAUCAAUGGGACGAACCGAGCUGAAUGAUGUGUUGCAGGUACAGCGAGAGGGUUGUGCGGCUGUAUGCUAACUGAUGUGGGGCAUGAUUUGACUGAAUUUGUAGGGGCUGGUUUUGAUGAUUCGCUGCUGAACUAAUGAUGUGUGGGUACAUGGAUCUUGAUAUAGUCGAAGCGACAUGAGGUCAAAGGUUGGAAGAUGAAUGGAGAUGGCUAACGGAAUAAGAAAGUGCAAGUGAAGGGUUUUAGCAAAACAUGAGUCAACUGUAUUUUUUUGUCGCUGAAAUUUUCUACGUAGUUGCAAUAUAUGGAUUUGUAAUGGGAAUUGGACUUUUGAAUUUUUGUAAUGGAUAUUUGUAUUGUAUGAUUUUUGUAAUGAGAUUUGA